AGCAGCCGCGGUAAUUCCAGCUCCAAUAGCGUAUAUUAAAGUUGUUGCAGUUAAAAAGCUCGUAGUUGAAUUUUGGGUCUGGCCGGGCGGUCCGCCCUCUGGGUGAGCACUGUUCCGACGUCGGGCCUAUCCUUCUGGUGAGUCGGCAUGUCCUUUAUUGGGUGUGUCGGGGAACCAGGACCAUUACCUUGAAAAAAUUAGAGUGUUUAAAGCAGGCAUUUUUGCUCGAAUACAUUAGCAUGGAAUAAUGAAAUAGGACGGCAUGAUUCUAUUUUGUUGGUUUCUAGGAUCACCGUAAUGAUUAAUAGGGAUAGUUGGGGGCAUUAGUAUUCAAUUGUCAGAGGUGAAAUUCUUGGAUUUAUUGAAGACUAACUACUGCGAAAGCAUUUGCCAAGGAUGUUUUCAUUAAUCAAGAACGAAAGUUAGGGGAUCGAAGACGAUCAGAUACCGUCGUAGUCUUAACCAUAAACUAUGCCGACUAGGAAUCAGACGAUGUUAAUUUUUUAAUGACUCGUUUGGUCACCUUACGGGAAACCAAAGUGUUUGGGUU
This 550-nucleotide ribosomal RNA is filed under the name uncultured Glomeromycotina. RNAcentral describes it as "partial small subunit ribosomal RNA". It matches the Rfam family "Eukaryotic small subunit ribosomal RNA", at positions 569 to 1113 of the family's 1831-position model. Lineage: Eukaryota; Fungi; Glomeromycota. The record is from RNAcentral.